AUACGUAGGUGGCAAGCGUUGUCCGGAAUUAUUGGGCGUAAAGCGCGCGCAGGCGGUCCUUUAAGUCUGAUGUGAAAGCCCACGGCUCAACCGUGGAGGGUCAUUGGAAACUGGGGGACUUGAGUGCAGAAGAGGAAAGUGGAAUUCCAAGUGUAGCGGUGAAAUGCGUAGAGAUUUGGAGGAACACCAGUGGCGAAGGCGACUUUCUGGUCUGUAACUGACGCUGAGGCGCGAAAGCGAGGGGAGCAAACAGGAUUAGAUACCCUGGUAGUCCACGCCGUAAACGAUGAGUGCUAAGUGUUCGGGGGUUUCCGCCCCUUAGUGCUGCAACUAACGCAUUAAGCACUCCGCCUGGGGAGUACGGUCGCAAGACUGAAACUCAAAGGAAUUGACGGGG
RNAcentral lists this ribosomal RNA (397 nucleotides) under uncultured bacterium. RNAcentral describes it as "partial 16S ribosomal RNA". It matches the Rfam family "Bacterial small subunit ribosomal RNA", at positions 523 to 918 of the family's 1533-position model. The record is from RNAcentral.